GACGAACGCUGGCGGCGUGCUUAACACAUGCAAGUCGAACGGAAAGGCCCUGCUUUUGUGGGGUGCUCGAGUGGCGAACGGGUGUGUAACACGUGAGUAAGCUGCCCUUGACUUUGGGAUAACUUCAGGAGACUGGGGAUAAUACCGGAUAGGAGCUCCUGCUGCAUGGUGGGGGUUGGAAAGUAUAGGAGGUUGGGGAUGGACUCUGGGCUUAUUAGCUGGUUGGUGGGGUAGUGGCUUACCAAGUGUUUGACUGGUAGUCGGCCUGGGAGGGGGGACAGCCACAUUAGGACUACGAUACGGCCCAGUCGCGUACGGGAGGCAGCAGGGGAGAAUAUUGCACAAUGGGCGGAAGCCUGAUGCAGCAACGUCGCGUGCGGGAUGACGGCCUUCGUGUUGUAAACCGCUUUCACCUGUGACGAAGCGUGAGUGACGGUAAUGGGUAAAUAAGCACCGGCUAACUACGUG
RNAcentral lists this ribosomal RNA (468 nucleotides) under uncultured bacterium. Its description in RNAcentral is "partial 16S ribosomal RNA". It matches the Rfam family "Bacterial small subunit ribosomal RNA", at positions 28 to 507 of the family's 1533-position model. The record is from RNAcentral.